This 498-nucleotide ribosomal RNA is filed under the name uncultured bacterium. RNAcentral describes it as "partial 16S ribosomal RNA". It matches the Rfam family "Bacterial small subunit ribosomal RNA", at positions 28 to 507 of the family's 1533-position model. The record is from RNAcentral.
GACGAACGCUGGCGGCGUGCCUAAUACAUGCAAGUCGAACGAGAGCGACCGGUGCUUGCACUGGUCAAUCUAGUGGCGAACGGGUGAGUAACACGUGGGUAACCUGCCCAUCAGAGGGGGAUAACAUUCGGAAACGGAUGCUAAAACCGCAUAGGUCUUCGAACCGCAUGGUUUGAAGAGGAAAAGAGGCGCAAGCUUCUGCUGAUGGAUGGACCCGCGGUGCAUUAGCUAGUUGGUGAGGUAACGGCUCACCAAGGCCGUGAUGCAUAGCCGACCUGAGAGGGUGAUCGGCCACAUUGGGACUGAGACACGGCCCAAACUCCUACGGGAGGCAGCAGUAGGGAAUCUUCCGCAAUGGACGAAAGUCUGACGGAGCAACGCCGCGUGAGUGAAGAAGGUUUUCGGAUCGUAAAACUCUGUUGUUAGAGAAGAAUAAGUGCUAGAGUAACUGUUAGCGCCUUGACGGUAUCUAACCAGAAAGCCACGGCUAACUACGUG